Molecule: long non-coding RNA, 816 nt
Filed under: Homo sapiens (human)
Lineage: Eukaryota; Metazoa; Chordata; Mammalia; Primates; Hominidae
Description: HSALNT0365224
Source: RNAcentral
GUGGAGGAGAGGGCGGGAUGGAGAAUCCCGGCUAGCAGCGUGGGAGCUGGCAGGGCUUCUGCAAGCCCUCUGCUCCCACCCUGGCCCCAUUUCACAGACGAGGAAACAAAGGCCCAAAGAAGAGUUCCGCCCGGGACGGAACGUGGCAUAGCUCGCAACAGAACCCAGUCUCCGGAGAUCCCUCUCCUCUGCACCACUUGGACGUUCCACGGAGAGGCAGCGGUGCGCGGGGCGACGGGGAGCUGCCAGAGAAGUCAGUGGUGGGCAUGAGUGGGUGAGACGGGCCCACUGAGGUUUCUGGGUGCCCACACUCCUGUUCUUUAGAAGAAAGGGACGGCAGGAGUCUGAUCAUCUGUCCGAUGCCCACACAGUGGCUGUGCUGAGUGACGUGUUGUUUUGAGGAUGUCCCUACCCCCUGGUCUUGCCGUCGGUCUCCAGUACCCAGCGAAGCAAGCUGUGGGCUCUGAGGAGCUCACACCAGGGAGGAGCUGCCCUGGAGUGGAGCAACAGCAUGUCCUCUCCCCUGUGUGACUGCAGUGCUAUAAUAAUAAUAACAGAAAGCUGGCAUUUCUUGAGCUCUUACUGUGUGCCAGAGACACCGCUCUAAGUGCUUACACAUAUGUAUUCGUUUUCUGUAGUUGCUGUAACAAAUUAUCACAAACUUUAAACAUUGAACUUAUGGCAUAAAGCAACACAAAUGUAUUAUCGUGUAGCUCUGUGGUAGGUUAGGAGUCUGACACAAGUCUCACUGGGCUAACAAUCCAGAUGUUGGGGCCAGGCGCGGUGGCUCACGCCUGUAAUCCCAGCACUUUGAGA